GCGUCGCUAGCUCAACUGGUAGAGCAUCUGACUCUUAAUCAGGUGGUUCGGGGUUCGAGUCCCUGGCGACGCACCA
This 76-nucleotide transfer RNA is filed under the name Candidatus Krumholzibacteriia bacterium. Its description in RNAcentral is "tRNA-Lys". It matches the Rfam family "tRNA". From Rfam's summary of the family: Transfer RNA (tRNA) molecules are approximately 80 nucleotides in length. Lineage: Bacteria; Candidatus Krumholzibacteriota; Candidatus Krumholzibacteriia. The record is from RNAcentral.